ACGCUCGACACCUACGGGAGGCUGCAGUAGGGAAUCUUCCACAAUGGGCGCAAGCCUGAUGGAGCAACACCGCGUGAGUGAAGAAGGGUUUCGGCUCGUAAAGCUCUGUUGUUGGAGAAGAACGUGCGUGAGAGUAACUGUUCACGCAGUGACGGUAUCCAACCAGAAAGUCACGGCUAACUACGUGCUAGCAGCCGCGGUAAUCUGAGCGGGCUGGCAAGGC
RNAcentral lists this ribosomal RNA (223 nucleotides) under uncultured bacterium. Its description in RNAcentral is "partial 16S ribosomal RNA". It matches the Rfam family "Bacterial small subunit ribosomal RNA", at positions 328 to 539 of the family's 1533-position model. The record is from RNAcentral.